Acinonyx jubatus (cheetah) is the source of this 3888-nucleotide long non-coding RNA. RefSeq lists it as uncharacterized. Lineage: Eukaryota; Metazoa; Chordata; Mammalia; Carnivora; Felidae. The transcript has 6 exons. The record is from RefSeq and is a predicted model, not a curated record.
UCCUGUGCUAAAAUUCCGGGAGAUGGAAGAUGAGUGAAAUUGAUAUCUUUCAUUUCUGGGUCAUCUCCUUAAAUACUUGCUCUGUACUCUCCCCUGUCCCUUAUUCUGUGGGCUAUCACACAGAUGUGGUAGAGACCCAGGUUCGGUAACGCUGAAGAGCAUGACAUCAGUGAAUGGUAAUGCAGCAGAAAGGAAGGAACUUGCGUCCUUUAAUGACCUAGAGGAGUCAAUCUACUUCACCACCUGGAUCGGCGGGACUGUAAUGUGAGAAACACAUUUCUAUCUAUAUAAGCCAUUACAUUUGGGGUUUUUGUUGUUGUUGUUAUUAUAGCAUCUUAGUCUCUACCCCACCUAAUGCAGGGUUUUACCUUUUUUUUUUCAAGAAAAAAAAAUGGCUUCACUUGUGAAAAUUGCCUGCAGGACUUAGGGGACAAACAGAUUUUUGAAGACAAAAGUCUGAUGGGUCAAGCUGAACUCUGAAUAUUCAUUAUCAUUCCAAGGGCUUUCCAUUGCUCCUCACUUGAUAACGGGAGAAGCCAAGAUGGCAGAACAGCAUGGAAGCUGUUUGUGUGUCUCACGUCCAUGAAAUACAGCCAGACCAACACUAAACUCUCCUACACACCUAGAAAACCGACUGGAAGAUUAACACAACAAUCUGCACAACCUGAACCACAGAAUUCAGCAGUACGCGACAAGGAGAGCUGAACUUGGGGAGCAAGAAGCCCCGAAAGAUCCUACCUGGAUUCCAAACAUUACCUAAUGGCUCUUCACGCAAGCUAUGGGUAACAUGGGAAUUAGCUGUCAUGAUGCUACCAGCAAAAGACUGUGGACUUGUCCCAUCCAUUGGUAAACUGCUGGCAUCUUCCUUGAUUGAAGGUGAAUCUGGAGUAACUGUUCUUUUGGUAAAUGCUGGAAAGGCAAGAGAAAAGACAAAAAUAAACCUAAAUGAAUAAAAUCCUUGGGCUGACAAAAUUAUGAGGGAAUCAAGAAACAAGUGAUUUGCUAAAUGUUGUAUAAGCGGCAUUUUAUAUGCGGAACUCAAGUCCUCACACUCAAAAUUUCUAUUUUUGUUCAUAUUUUUAAAAAGAGUGUUUAAUUCACAAGCCAAAUCCUGUUGGCAAGACACUUCCUAAGGGAUCCAAACUAACAAAACGGAAACGCUGAAAAGAAAAAUGCAGCAAGGUAUCAACAUUUUGUCUAAAAAGCUGUAAGUACGCCCUUCAACAUGUUGACUUAUCCAGAAAAGCCGGUUUAAAGGUAUGUGUCAUUUCCUAACCUAGAGGGAGUACCCAGUAACUUUCCUCAUUACCUGCUUUUCACUAGGGGUGUGACAAGUCCCUGAUAGAAUCAGAAACAGGAUUUACGAACAGAGUCAAAAUAUGUGCUCCACAUCUCUGAUCUAUUCUCUCAUCUACUACCAAUGAUAGAGAUGGGAGGCAGCCAGCUGUUCUGUAGGUUUCCUGGGCAACACUCUGGUUGCAUUUUUGGUUUGCGAUCUUGAGAGGUGAUCACUGACCCUUAUACUUUGGCACUGUUUGUAUCACUGUUUGACCUUGUUCAGAGAAGUUGGAGAUUGCGCCUACACCAAAGUGGGAUGUGUGCAUGUGUCUGUGUGGUGGGGAAGAGGAAGAUAUGGAAAAUGGAGCUGUGGUGAUUUAUUUUGACAGAUUUCACACUGGAAAAUGCAGCCUGAGAGGCGAAGUAGGGUUUUGCUUGAAAUCCCUGUAAACACUUCCAGUCAGUUGUGUAACACUAACACCAAAACCUCUCAGAUUUACCCUUUGUGUUUCAGAUCGCAGAUCAAAGCAAUGAGGUUUCCUUUUUUUUUCCCCUUUAAAAUGAAGAAUCGAAUUAAGAUUCCUCUUUAACAUACAAUGUGGUUCACAGGUGGCUAGAGGUUAAGACUACAAACCAAAUAGAGGGCAGAAGACACAGAACUGUCUUUCUCCCAGAACUGUGCAAUUCCACGGUGAGUCUGCUGAUAAUGGGUAACAAGAGCUCAGUGAAUGACAUCUGGACUGGGGAACAACUAAAAAUUACUUGCAGAUAAUAUAAAGGCUAUGAUGGUGGCUAGGGGCAAUGCAAAUGACAACCAAUGUAAUUUCAAAGACUGUCCCCUCAAAAGAGAUGCACACACAGAAGUUGAGUAGUAGAGGGAGAAAACCAGCAACCCAGAAACCAACACACUGUAUUUCCCCCCCAAAGAUUUACAUUUAAAAAAGUAAAGUACAUGUCUCCAGUGGCGAGGUUAGUCAUAUAUCAGCUGAAUAUGCUCUGAACUCUUAUGCAAAUCAUACUGCAGUAGUGAUUAUGGCAUAAUUUAUGAGUAGGUUUGUGUCAGGAAGAAUUUGUGGGAAACAGUAAGGUAUGCUUUUUCUUUCAGAGUGUGUAUUUGACUGUCACCAAACAUAGCUGGCCUAAUGAGACUCCCUGAGGCUGCCAUCUCCUUUGAUUCCCUCAAGGGCACACAUCCUCUGGGAUUCCAGGUGAAGAAUAUUCACAAAGAAACCCACAUGGAACCCACUGUCCCAAGCUCCUUCUUCCUGAAUAUUUCAACCCUAGCACUCGAUGGUUGACUAUCACUCAGGUCACAAACUGAGCCAUGAAAUGGUACAAGCAAACAGUCCACCUUCGGAAUUAAAUUGCUUACCUUUGAGCAAUUCCAAUAAUCCUCAUCUCAAUUUACAUGCAGUCAUUUAUUCAAGUGUUUCAGGAAUUAAAGCACCAGGAACCUAUGGCUGUCUCACCCUCAUUCCCAUACUCCUUCCGUGGGCUUCUGUACAGUUACCUCUCACUGUUCUAUACUAAAGAGAGAGGGUGCUGAUAAAGAUAAUCAGACAUAAGCAGAUGGUUUCAAAAUAAUGUAUUUGGCUGACACGAGUAAGGUUUUCCUUGCUUCCUAUUCCAUUUGACUAAGAUCAAAACUAUUAUUAAUCUCCAUUUCCUGAUAUACAAGCACAGGUAGGAAGGGAAAGGUAGUUAAAGGAUUUAAAAUUAGCCUCAGAUUAUCUGUACUCUGACCAUCAAUGGUGCACUGUUCUUAGUAUCCAAGAAAACCGAGGAAAAACCCCAACAACUUAGUUUCUAGUUACACUUCUGAGAUGCAUACCUGAAGGCUGACUUAACCUGCAUGUCCUAAAAUAAAGCAGACGUAUUUUGACUAUUCAGUUCCAAAUAUCCUAAAUAUUCCUACCUAUGAAAUACUUAACUGCUUUUUCUUCAAAUUGAGCUUCAUUCUGAUUUUUCAUUGCAGUCUGACUAGCAUCUUCCCAAGAUGGAAUUUUAAACAGUUGCUUUGGCUGUUUGAGAGAGAUGUGAGUAAAGAAAAAAAGUUGGAAAGCUCUAUUAUCUUAAAACAUUCGAAAGCACUAUCAAUAGUCAUAGCUAUAAAGAUAACACUAAUACGACUAUAAUAAUUUUUAAUGAAUUUUUAAUUUCUGCAUUUAGAAAAUUAUGUCACACUGUGCUCUUAAAAUGUUUCCCCAAAUAAUUCCUAACUCAACUUACAUGCACAAAUUUUAGGGAAAUCAUUACUUGAAGUUGAAAACAGUUUAUUCUUCAGGAUUAUAGAGCUCAAGUAUCCUCAGACUGUCUUGCUUUCACAUCAAACAUCGUUAGAUGUAACUAAUCCUAAACUCCAAAGUCUACAAUGGGAAGGAAUAAAUAAGGUGGGAGUUUGCUAGCAGGCACACCUGGGCAACUUUAGUCAGUAAUGAAAGCUACUUUUAACACUUACAACUUACUUGUUGACAAUGGACCACUGAUACAGUGUGAUUUUCGGAGUUCAGGAAGGUCUGAUCACUCAAAAUUAUGCUUUUCUCCCAUUUGCAAAAUUAUUAGAAAUUCUACCAAUAGAAAUUUAUUCUUUGCCUCCCCCAAUCUAGUUCA